Molecule: small nucleolar RNA, 136 nt
Organism: Suricata suricatta (meerkat)
Lineage: Eukaryota; Metazoa; Chordata; Mammalia; Carnivora; Herpestidae
Source: Ensembl
CCCUCUUUUAAAAGCACUCGUUGGGCCUUGACUAAUGACCCACUGAGCCCUCAAGAAAAGGCAGAGUAAAAACACUGCUUUUGGGUGAAGCAGCAACAUGGCGUGUUGUUUUGCUUCAAUCAGUGGUGUGACAAGG